Molecule: ribosomal RNA, 500 nt
Filed under: uncultured bacterium
Lineage: Bacteria
Description: partial 16S ribosomal RNA
Rfam family: Bacterial small subunit ribosomal RNA
Source: RNAcentral
AUUGAACGCUGGCGGCAUGCCUUACACAUGCAAGUCGAACGGCAGCACGGGAGCAAUCCUGGUGGGGAGUGGCGAACGGGUGAGUAAAGUAUCGGAACGUGCCCAGUCGUGGGGGAUAACGUAGCGAAAGUUACGCUAAUACCGCAUACGAUCUAUGGAUGAAAGCGGGGGAUCGCAAGACCUCGCGCGAUUGGAGCGGCCGAUAGCAGAUUAGGUAGUUGGUGGGGUAAAGGCCUACCAAGCCGACGAUCUGUAGCUGGUCUGAGAGGACGACCAGCCACACUGGGACUGAGACACGGCCCAGACUCCUACGGGAGGCAGCAGUGGGGAAUUUUGGACAAUGGGCGCAAGCCUGAUCCAGCCAUGCCGCGUGCAGGAUGAAGGCCUUCGGGUUGUAAACUGCUUUUGUACGGAACGAAAAGGUUUCUUUUAAUACAGGGAACUGAUGACGGUACCGUAAGAAUAAGCACCGGCUAACUACGUGCCAGCCGCCGCCGUAA